RNAcentral lists this ribosomal RNA (880 nucleotides) under Halorubrum saccharovorum. RNAcentral describes it as "bacterial SSU rRNA". It matches the Rfam family "Archaeal small subunit ribosomal RNA", at positions 1 to 885 of the family's 1478-position model. Lineage: Archaea; Methanobacteriati; Methanobacteriota; Halobacteria; Halobacteriales; Haloferacaceae. The record is from RNAcentral.
CUUUCCGGUUGAUCCCGCCGGAAGGCCAUGGUAUUGGGAUUCGAUUAAGCCAUGCUAGUCGUACGAGUUCAUACUCGUGGCGAAUAGCUCAGUAACACGUGGCCAAACUACCCUUCGGAGCACCAUACCCUCGGGAAACUGAGGCUAAUAGUGCAUACCACAAUCCACCUGGAAUGAGGAUUGUGCCAAACGCUCCGGCGCCGAAGGAUGUGGCUGCGGCCGAUUAGGUAGACGGUGGGGUAACGGCCCACCGUGCCAAUAAUCGGUACGGGUCAUGAGAGUGAGAACCCGGAGACGGAAUCUGAGACAAGAUUCCGGGCCCUACGGGGCGCAGCAGGCGCGAAACCUUUACACUGCACGCCAGUGCGAUAAGGGAAUCCCAAGUGCGCAGGCAUAGAGCCUGCGCUUUUGUCCACCGUAGGGAGGUGGACGAAUAAGGGCUGGGCAAGACCGGUGCCAGCCGCCGCGGUAAUACCGGCAGCCCGAGUGAUGGCCGAUCUUAUUGGGCCUAAAGCGUCCGUAGCUGGCCGCGCAAGUCUAUCGGAAAAUCCACCCGCCCAACGGGUGGGCGUCCGGUAGAAACUGCGUGGCUUGGGACCGGAAGGCGCGACGGGUACGUCCGGGGUAGGAGUGAAAUCCCGUAAUCCUGGACGGACCGCCGAUGGCGAAAGCACGUCGCGAGGACGGAUCCGACAGUGAGGGACGAAAGCCAGGGUCUCGAACCGGAUUAGAUACCCGGGUAGUCCUGGCCGUAAACAAUGUCUGUUAGGUGUGGCUCCCGCUACGAGCGGGUGCUGUGCCGUAGGGAAGCCGCUAAACAGACCGCCUGGGAAGUACGUCCGCAAGGAUGAAACUAAAGGAAUGGCGGGAGCACUACAGC